AAAGUUAUGAAAGCGCCAGAACUUAAGUGCUUAUAGCAGAUUAGUAUCUGAGUAAGUUCGACUAAUCAAGUUGAGAAUUUGGGGUUAUAAAGGAAAUUCAGAUUAACAUCUGAGUAAGUUCCACUGGCCAAAUUGAAAAUUUGGAGUAUAUAGAGGAAACUCAGAUUAGCAUCUGAGUAAGUUCCACUAACCAAAUUGAAAAUUUGGAGUGUCACUUAAGUUGACGAGGAUAUAGGAGUAUCGAAAUUUCGGCGGAUAUCCUAUGGGAUCUCACAGCCCUAAAAGCUAUAAUAAAAGUUAGAAGUGAUUCUGAUUACAAAAAAGCUUUAGUGAGGAC
Regulatory RNA element from Clostridium botulinum A str. ATCC 3502, 337 nucleotides. It matches the Rfam family "glmS glucosamine-6-phosphate activated ribozyme aptamer". From Rfam's summary of the family: This entry contains a glucosamine-6-phosphate activated ribozyme that is found in the mRNA for GlmS. Lineage: Bacteria; Bacillati; Bacillota; Clostridia; Eubacteriales; Clostridiaceae. The record is from Rfam.